UACGUAGGGUGCAAGCGUUAAUCGGAAUUACUGGGCGUAAAGCGUGCGCAGGCGGUUUUGUAAGACAGGUGUGAAAUCCCAGGGCUUAACCUUGGAACUGCAUUUGUGACUGCAUAGCUAGAGUACGGUAGAGGGGGAUGGAAUUCCGCGUGUAGCAGUGAAAUGCGUAGAUAUGCGGAGGAACACCGAUGGCGAAGGCAAUCCCCUGGACCUGUACUGACGCUCAUGCACGAAAGCGUGGGGAGCAAACAGG
RNAcentral lists this ribosomal RNA (253 nucleotides) under uncultured bacterium. RNAcentral's name for it is "partial 16S ribosomal RNA". It matches the Rfam family "Bacterial small subunit ribosomal RNA", at positions 524 to 776 of the family's 1533-position model. The record is from RNAcentral.